Molecule: ribosomal RNA, 551 nt
Filed under: Dothideales sp. Rco005ITS1
Lineage: Eukaryota; Fungi; Ascomycota; Dothideomycetes; Dothideales
Description: eukaryotic LSU rRNA
Rfam family: 5.8S ribosomal RNA (bases 169-322)
Source: RNAcentral
GGUCUUCACGGCCCGACCUCCAACCCUCUGUUGUUAUAACUAUACCGUUGCUUCGGCGGACGCAGCCCGCAAGGGCUGAGCCAGUCUCACGACCGGCGAGCGCCGCCGGAGUCUAACCAAACUCUUGUUUUUAACCAGUCGUCUGAGUAAAAAUUUUAAUUAAAUUAAAACUUUCAACAACGGAUCUCUUGGUUCUCGCAUCGAUGAAGAACGCAGCGAAAUGCGAUAAGUAAUGUGAAUUGCAGAAUUCAGUGAAUCAUCGAAUCUUUGAACGCACAUUGCGCCCCUUGGUAUUCCGAGGGGCAUGCCUGUUCGAGCGUCAUUACACCACUCAAGCACCGCUUGGUAUUGGGCACCCGUCCGCCGCAAGGCGGGCGUGCCUCGAAGACCUCGGCGGGGCCUCACCAGCUUCGGGCGUAGUAGAGUUAAAUCAAAACGUCUUAUAAGUCUGGGGAGACUCCAUUGCCGUAAAACCUUUUUAUUUUCAGGUUGACCUCGGAUCAGGUAGGGAUACCCGCUGAACUUAAGCAUAUCAGUAAGCGGAGGAAAAG